CAACGGAGAUGCUCAACAUCCUGGUAGUUCUCGAUUUUUUUGGGACUAUUGUCUUUAUUUUGCUUUAUAAUUGACAUAAGACAAGCUACCUAAAUGUGACUUAUCGGCUAGUACUGAAGCAGGACAUGUUUUUGAGUUACGUUUUUAGCCCAAAGCCUUGUAUUUAAGCAAAACAACUUAAGAAGGGAACCAUGAAGAGAAGCUUGGAGUGGGCAAGGGAGAGGCUAAUAAAGCAGCAGAGGAGACCUGAUUCAUCAAGUAUCAAUUAAUUUAGGUGAUUCUCAACUGACACUUCAAUCUGACACUCUUGUUAAUGUUUGACGUCAGGCAAAACAUCUUCAGCCACCGUAGGACGGAGAGCCGCUGGUUGGCAUUUGACUGCAGUGUCUGUCUGGGUGUACCAGGAAAGGACGUUAGUAGUUAUAUAUCAAAGAUAUCAAAGCUUCUUACCGUCUCCACUGCAGCUUAGUCGUUAUCGAUAAAAUAAACUGGAACAAUGGAUUGUACGACAUUAUGUACAACUCCAGUUUGCCUAUUGCCCCAACUAAUGUCAAUUAGACAUUUUUACAUACGUCAAGAGUGCAUUUUCUUUUAUAGCUUUGCGUUCAACACCAUCCUUACCCACAAACUGGUUAGCAGGCUCUGGGUGUAAAUCCUGUAAUAAAUUAGAUUUUUUACAUUAUAAGAAUGUGUAUCCCCAGAAUGGACCUGACACUACCAUGGUACACAUGAGUACAUGAAGGAGCUGUGAGACUUGACAAUAGUGAUAGGACAAGUUUCAGCAUAAGCAAAACAAAGUAGAUGGUGAUACUUGACCAUUCUCCCAUCUACUGUACAUUGACAUGGAGAUGAUCAGCAGCUGCAAGUUCCUGGGCACCCUGAUAUCCUUUUCUGCCCUCAGUUACUUCACUCAAAGUCCCACUUGUGCUUCUCCACUAACCUCAAACUUGCUGCACCACGACCUAUGUACCAACUACAGUGUCUUGUAUUGCCAUAACACAUGUAAAGGAAAUGUCCAUAUUUACUGUAAGAUUUACUUAUGGUAACAUUGCACAUAUUGUAGUCCCUUGACAUACAUGACUUAACUACUUUGCAUAAUGCUCAGUUUACCCACUAAAAUCAUAAAUGUAUUUAAAUAUUAAAGCUGCAUUAUGUAAUACUGUG
Long non-coding RNA from Oncorhynchus tshawytscha (Chinook salmon), 1164 nucleotides. Lineage: Eukaryota; Metazoa; Chordata; Actinopteri; Salmoniformes; Salmonidae. The record is from Ensembl.